This 253-nucleotide ribosomal RNA is filed under the name uncultured bacterium. Its description in RNAcentral is "partial 16S ribosomal RNA". It matches the Rfam family "Bacterial small subunit ribosomal RNA", at positions 524 to 776 of the family's 1533-position model. The record is from RNAcentral.
UACAGAGGGGGCGAGCGUUGUUCGGAAUUACUGGGCGUAAAGGGCGCGUAGGCGGUCUGCUAAGUUGGAUGUGAAAACUCUGGGCUUAACCCAGAGCCUGCAUUCAAUACUGACAGGCUAGAGUUCUGGAGGGGAUAGCGGAAUUCCUGGUGUAGCGGUGAAAUGCGUAGAUAUCAGGAGGAACACCGGUGGCGAAGGCGGCUAUCUGGACAGAGUCUGACGCUGAGGCGCGAAAGCUAGGGGAGCAAACAGG